UCAUCGAAUCUUUGAACGCACCUUGCGCUCCUUGGUAUUCCGAGGAGCAUGCCUGUUUGAGUGUCAUGAAAUUCUCAACUGCCCCAAAGCUUUGUUGUUUGGAGUGAAGUUGGACUUGGAGGUCUUUGCUGGCGUGAGUCUCUUUUGGCUCGCUUGUUGGCUCCUCUUGAAUGCAUGAGCUUUCCAAGUGGAUCUUGGCAAAGUAUCGUCGAUGUGAUAAUUAUCUACGUCGGUCGAGAAAGCCUCGAGCAGAGUAGUCUCUUCGGAGCAACUCCUACAGGAAAUCUUUCAUAUAUGAUCGGGCUUCAAACACCCGAGCAUCUGACAAAUUCGACCUCAAAUCAGGUAGGACUACCCGCUGAACUUAAGCAUAUCAAUAAGCGGAGGAAAAGAAACUAACAAGGAUUCCCCUAGUAACUGCGAGUGAAGCGGGAAAAGCUCAAAUUUAAAAUCUGGCGUGCCUCUGGUCGUCCGAGUUGUAGUCUGGAGAAGUGUUUUCCGUGCUGGACCG
RNAcentral lists this ribosomal RNA (511 nucleotides) under uncultured fungus. Its description in RNAcentral is "eukaryotic LSU rRNA". The stretch from base 332 to 511 matches the Rfam family "Eukaryotic large subunit ribosomal RNA", at positions 1 to 177 of the family's 3401-position model. Lineage: Eukaryota; Fungi. The record is from RNAcentral.